GGGGAGGUGGCAGAGUGGUAAUGCAGCAGCCUGCUAAGCUGUGACGGGUUUCCCGUCCCCGAGUUCGAAUCCCGGUCUCUCCGCCA
This 86-nucleotide transfer RNA is filed under the name Ignavibacteriae bacterium HGW-Ignavibacteriae-4. RNAcentral describes it as "tRNA-Ser". It matches the Rfam family "tRNA". Rfam says of the family: Transfer RNA (tRNA) molecules are approximately 80 nucleotides in length. Their secondary structure includes four short double-helical elements and three loops (D, anti-codon, and T loops). Further hydrogen bonds mediate the characteristic L-shaped molecular structure. tRNAs have two regions of fundamental functional importance: the anti-codon, which is responsible for specific mRNA codon recognition, and the 3' end, to which the tRNAs corresponding amino acid is attached (by aminoacyl-tRNA synthetases). tRNAs cope with the degeneracy of the genetic code in two manners: having more than one tRNA (with a specific anti-codon) for a particular amino acid; and 'wobble' base-pairing, i.e. permitting non-standard base-pairing at the 3rd anti-codon position. The record is from RNAcentral. RNAcentral also lists the same sequence under 1 other name. Lineage: Bacteria; Pseudomonadati; Ignavibacteriota.